Non-coding RNA from Plutella xylostella (diamondback moth), 459 nucleotides. The record is from RefSeq and is a predicted model, not a curated record. Lineage: Eukaryota; Metazoa; Arthropoda; Insecta; Lepidoptera; Plutellidae.
UAUACAAACAGAGCAUUUGUCACACCCAUGUGAAAUAUAAACGAGUACAUAACCGCUUUUUUAUUUAAUAUUCAACAAGUCUCACCUGAGAACAGUUCUACAGUUCUGUGAUAGAAAUGAUUGCCCAAAAGUUCGUUUUGUGUGUAGUUGCUUUGCUGGUUUUGGUUCAGAGUGUUACCAGCCAUUUCGGCUAUGGCGGUUAUGGCGGGGGCUUCGGCGGCGGUCUCGACGGAGGCGCCAUCAUUAUAGGUGGGUACAAGAGGUUCGGCUAUGGAGGGGGUUUCUACCAGCGACCGUAUGCUCCCUACGCGCCACAGUUCUUCUACCCCCGGCCCCCACCCCCGCCGUUUCCAUACCCGUAUUACGGUUGAGAAGACAAAAUAAAAAUGGCGAACGUAAAAAUGACAGAUUUUUUGACGGCACGGAUUUUUUGUGAAUAAAUUUUUGAGUUGUUUUUUA